This 475-nucleotide ribosomal RNA is filed under the name uncultured bacterium. RNAcentral's name for it is "bacterial SSU rRNA". It matches the Rfam family "Bacterial small subunit ribosomal RNA", at positions 30 to 526 of the family's 1533-position model. The record is from RNAcentral.
AAUGAAGGCUAUAAGUCUGCUUUAAUACAUGCGAGUCGUAUGGCUUAAAAGCCAUGGCGUACGGGUGAGUAAUAAACGAUAUUCUAUACCUAACACCAGAAUAAUUCUAUCCCUUUGGGGAGAAAUUAUAGAAAAAUACUGGAUAUUUAUUAAAAAGAUUUGUUAAUUUUCAUUUAACAGAGAUUGGUUAGGGGUGAGAUCGAAUAGUAUUAGGUAGUUGGUAAAAAAGCUUACCAAGCCGAUGAUGCUUAGUUGGUUUGGAAGAACGAUCAACCACACUGGGACUGAAACAAGGCCCAGGUCUCUUUUUGAGGGCAGCAGUAGGGAAUAUUGGACGAAUGCGCGAAAGCGUGAUCCAGCAAGACUUGGUGAGGGAUUGAAGGCUUCGGUUGUAAACCUCUUUUUUAAUUGAGGAUAAUGACAGUAAAUUAAGAAGAAGUCCCGACUAACUUCGUGCCAGCCGCCGCCGUAACAC